RNAcentral lists this ribosomal RNA (499 nucleotides) under uncultured bacterium. RNAcentral describes it as "bacterial SSU rRNA". It matches the Rfam family "Bacterial small subunit ribosomal RNA", at positions 791 to 1289 of the family's 1533-position model. The record is from RNAcentral.
UAGUCCACGCUGUAAACGAUGAGUACUAGCUGUUGGAUCUGGUGUAAAAGAUUUAGUGGCGCAGCUAACGCGUUAAGUACUCCGCCUGGGGACUACAGCCGCAAGGCUAAAACUCAAAGGAAUUGACGGGGACCCGCACAAGCGGUGGAGCAUGUGGUUUAAUUCGAUGCAACGCGAAGAACCUUACCUGCCCUUGACAUCCAUAGAAGACAAAAGAGAUUUUGUUGUGCCUUCGGGAACUAUGAGACAGGUGCUGCAUGGCUGUCGUCAGCUCGUGUUGUGAAAUGUUGGGUUAAGUCCCGCAACGAGCGCAACCCUUAUUUUAGCUGCCAUCAUUAAGUUGGGCACUCUAGAGAGACUGCCGCUGAUAAAGCGGAGGAAGGUGGGGACGACGUCAAGUCAUCAUGGCCCUUACGGGCAGGGCUACACACGUGCUACAAUAGGCAUUACAGAGGGAGGCGAAGGUGCGAGCUAGAGCGAAACUCAGAAAGGUGUUUGU